Molecule: ribosomal RNA, 442 nt
Filed under: uncultured bacterium
Lineage: Bacteria
Description: partial 16S ribosomal RNA
Rfam family: Bacterial small subunit ribosomal RNA
Source: RNAcentral
CUACGGGGGGCAGCAGUCGAGAAUCUUCCGCAAUGGGCGCAAGCCUGACGGAGCAAUGCCGCGUGAGGGAUGACGGCCCUAGGGUUGUAAACCUCUGUCAGAAGGGACGAAGAACGUGACGGUACCUUCAGAGGAAGCCAUGGCUAACUACGUGCCAGCAGCCGCGGUAAUACGUAGAUGGCGAGCGUUAUUCGGAUUUACUGGGCGUAAAGGGUCAGUAGGGGGUCUGCCAAGUCUGAUGUGAAAUCCUGCGGCUCAACCGCGGAACUGCAUUGGAAACUGGCGGACUAGAGUGUGCGAGGGGUGAGCGGAAUUCCUGGUGUAGCGGUGGAAUGCGUAGAUAUCAGGAAGAACACCGAUGUCGAAGGCGGCUCACUGGCGCAUCACUGACCCUGAGGGACGAAAGCGUGGGUAGCAAACGGGAUUAGAUACCCCCGUAGUC